AUUGAACGCUGGCGGCAUGCUUUACACAUGCAAGUCGAACGGUAACAGGCCGCAAGGUGCUGACGAGUGGCGCACGGGUGCGUAAUGCAUCGGAACGUGCCCAGUCGUGGGGGAUAACUACUCGAAAGAGUAGCUAAUACCGCAUACGAUCUAUGGAUGAAAGCGGGGGACCGUAAGGCCUCGCGCGAUUGGAGCGGCCGAUGUCAGAUUAGGUAGUUGGUGGGGUAAAGGCUCACCAAGCCAACGAUCUGUAGCUGGUCUGAGAGGACGACCAGCCACACUGGGACUGAGACACGGCCCAGACUCCUACGGGAGGCAGCAGUGGGGAAUUUUGGACAAUGGGCGCAAGCCUGAUCCAGCAAUGCCGCGUGCAGGAAGGAGGCCUUCGGGUUGUAAACUGCUUUUGUACGGAACGAAACGGCCCUGGUUAAUACCCGGGGCUAAUGACGGUACCGUAAGAAUAAGCACCGGCUAACUACGUG
RNAcentral lists this ribosomal RNA (482 nucleotides) under uncultured bacterium. RNAcentral's name for it is "partial 16S ribosomal RNA". It matches the Rfam family "Bacterial small subunit ribosomal RNA", at positions 30 to 507 of the family's 1533-position model. The record is from RNAcentral.